Long non-coding RNA from Ictalurus punctatus (channel catfish), 590 nucleotides. The record is from Ensembl. Lineage: Eukaryota; Metazoa; Chordata; Actinopteri; Siluriformes; Ictaluridae.
UCUCCAUGAAGCACAACAAACUAGACUCCCUGUAAUCACGCUGACUAUUCGUCAGUGAUUCAAUCUCAUCUGUCUUGUUGGCCAGUGAUCUUACACUCCCCAUAACAACUGAUGGAAGGCAAGUCGCGACGGGCAGAGAGCCAGCGUACACAAGAAGGAAAUCGCUCGUUCUCCAACUGCCACACCGGCACGACGUGGGCAGCUUUGUGCCGAAUAUUCCGCCAACCGGAAGGACCGCCGCGGCAGGGCGGGACUGACGCGACACCGGCCAGUGAUUGGCGGACCCAACGGAGAAAUUCCACCACUCAGGCGACGGCGGAGGAGGAUAAAAGGGCGCGCUUCCGGCCGUAUGAGAGAGGAGAAUAUCGUAGCGACAAGACGGACUCCGUGCAAGCGCGGACAAGAUCGCCGGGUGGUGAGAGUCCCACCUACGAUGGACGCCGGCCCGGGAAAACCCUCGCCCCCGUCUCAGGAAUCCCGCCUCCGCCACGAGUAGGCUACACCGGCAGUCACGCCUCCACAAGCCCCGCACUCAUCCCCUCACAACCCACUCACCUCACCCUUGCACCAAUAAAUCACCGUUUGUGAAC